AACGAACGCUGGCGGCAUGCCUAACACAUGCAAGUCGAACGAGACCUUCGGGUCUAGUGGCGCACGGGUGCGUAACGCGUGGGAACCUGCCCUUAGGUUCGGAAUAACUCCCCGAAAGGGGUGCUAAUACCGGAUAAUGUCUUCGGACCAAAGAUUUAUCGCCUUUGGAUGGGCCCGCGUUGGAUUAGCUAGUUGGUAGGGUAAAAGCCUACCAAGGCGACGAUCCAUAGCUGGUCUGAGAGGAUGAUCAGCCACACUGGGACUGAGACACGGCCCAGACUCCUACGGGAGGCAGCAUUGGGGAAUAUUGGACAAUGGGCGAAAGCCUGAUCCAGCAAUGCCGCGUUAGUGAUGAAGGCCUUAGGGUUGUAAAGCUCUUUUACCCGGGAUGAUAAUGACAGUACCGGGAGAAUAAGCUCCGGCUAACUCCGUG
Molecule: ribosomal RNA, 433 nt
Filed under: uncultured bacterium
Lineage: Bacteria
Description: partial 16S ribosomal RNA
Rfam family: Bacterial small subunit ribosomal RNA
Source: RNAcentral